This 1255-nucleotide ribosomal RNA is filed under the name Escherichia coli. Its description in RNAcentral is "bacterial LSU rRNA". It matches the Rfam family "Bacterial large subunit ribosomal RNA", at positions 1106 to 2345 of the family's 2925-position model. Lineage: Bacteria; Pseudomonadati; Pseudomonadota; Gammaproteobacteria; Enterobacterales; Enterobacteriaceae. The record is from RNAcentral.
UUAGAAGCAGCCAUCAUUUAAAGAAAGCGUAAUAGCUCACUGGUCGAGUCGGCCUGCGCGGAAGAUGUAACGGGGCUAAACCAUGCACCGAAGCUGCGGCAGCGACGCUUAUGCGUUGUUGGGUAGGGGAGCGUUCUGUAAGCCUGCGAAGGUGUGCUGUGAGGCAUGCUGGAGGUAUCAGAAGUGCGAAUGCUGACAUAAGUAACGAUAAAGCGGGUGAAAAGCCCGCUCGCCGGAAGACCAAGGGUUCCUGUCCAACGUUAAUCGGGGCAGGGUGAGUCGACCCCUAAGGCGAGGCCGAAAGGCGUAGUCGAUGGGAAACAGGUUAAUAUUCCUGUACUUGGUGUUACUGCGAAGGGGGGACGGAGAAGGCUAUGUUGGCCGGGCGACGGUUGUCCCGGUUUAAGCGUGUAGGCUGGUUUUCCAGGCAAAUCCGGAAAAUCAAGGCUGAGGCGUGAUGACGAGGCACUACGGUGCUGAAGCAACAAAUGCCCUGCUUCCAGGAAAAGCCUCUAAGCAUCAGGUAAUAUCAAAUCGUACCCCAAACCGACACAGGUGGUCAGGUAGAGAAUACCAAGGCGCUUGAGAGAACUCGGGUGAAGGAACUAGGCAAAAUGGUGCCGUAACUUCGGGAGAAGGCACGCUGAUAUGUAGGUGAAGUCCCUCGCGGAUGGAGCUGAAAUCAGUCGAAGAUACCAGCUGGCUGCAACUGUUUAUUAAAAACACAGCACUGUGCAAACACGAAAGUGGACGUAUACGGUGUGACGCCUGCCCGGUGCCGGAAGGUUAAUUGAUGGGGUCAGCGCAAGCGAAGCUCUUGAUCGAAGCCCCGGUAAACGGCGGCCGUAACUAUAACGGUCCUAAGGUAGCGAAAUUCCUUGUCGGGUAAGUUCCGACCUGCACGAAUGGCGUAAUGAUGGCCAGGCUGUCUCCACCCGAGACUCAGUGAAAUUGAACUCGCUGUGAAGAUGCAGUGUACCCGCGGCAAGACGGAAAGACCCCGUGAACCUUUACUAUAGCUUGACACUGAACAUUGAGCCUUGAUGUGUAGGAUAGGUGGGAGGCUUUGAAGUGUGGACGCCAGUCUGCAUGGAGCCGACCUUGAAAUACCACCCUUUAAUGUUUGAUGUUCUAACGUUGACCCGUGAUCCGGGUUGCGGACAGUGUCUGGUGGGUAGUUUGACUGGGGCGGUCUCCUCCUAAAGAGUAACGGAGGAGCACGAAGGUUGGCUAAUCCUGGUCGGACAUCAGGAGG